This 497-nucleotide ribosomal RNA is filed under the name uncultured bacterium. RNAcentral describes it as "bacterial SSU rRNA". It matches the Rfam family "Bacterial small subunit ribosomal RNA", at positions 791 to 1286 of the family's 1533-position model. The record is from RNAcentral.
UAGUCCAUGCAGUAAACGAUGGGUGCUAGUCGUCGGACUUAUGUUCGGUGUCGUAGCUAACGCGUUAAGCACCCCGCCUGGGGAGUACGGUCGCAAGAUUAAAACUCAAAUAAAUUGACGGGGACCCGCACAAGCAGUGGAGCAUGUGGUUUAAUUCGACGCAACGCGAAGAACCUUACCAGCGUUUGACAUGGGAAGUACCGGUUACAGAAUGGUAACCUUCAGUUCGGCUGGCUUCUACACAGGUGCUGCAUGGCUGUCGUCAGCUCGUGUCGUGAGAUGUUGGGUUAAGUCCCGCAACGAGCGCAACCCUUAUCGUUAGUUACUAACAGUUCGGCUGAGGACUCUAGCGAAACUGCCGGUGAUAAGCCGGAGGAAGGUGGGGAUGACGUCAAGUCCUCAUGGCCCUUACGGGGCCGGGGCUACACACGUGAUACAAUGGGUAACUACAAAGANCAGCGAUGGGAGCAAUCUUCAGCAAAUCUCCAAAAGUUCCU